This 76-nucleotide transfer RNA is filed under the name Janthinobacterium agaricidamnosum NBRC 102515 = DSM 9628. Its description in RNAcentral is "tRNA-Und (NNN) (tRNA-Und-NNN-1-1)". It matches the Rfam family "tRNA", at positions 11 to 71 of the family's 71-position model. From Rfam's summary of the family: Transfer RNA (tRNA) molecules are approximately 80 nucleotides in length. The record is from RNAcentral. Lineage: Bacteria; Pseudomonadati; Pseudomonadota; Betaproteobacteria; Burkholderiales; Oxalobacteraceae.
GUAAGCCAGUUCUCAUAUUCCUACCUUUGGCCUCCGAAGCCAAGGGUCGCUGGUUCGAUUCCAGCCAGCCGCACCA